CCCUGUGUGAGCUCUGGCAUCUUUUUGUGGAACAGCAGCCAAGGUUGAAGAUGAAGCCAAGGGCAUCACCAAAAACUUGAAGAUGUUGAGUUUGACCAAAUAAAAAAGUCGAGAUUACCACUCAGCAACCUGCUAAAACUCAGCACGUCUGGUAAGCUGCUGUUCAAAAAUUGAAUAAAAGCUAUGUGCAUUUGCUGUAUUUGUAGCCUAUAUACUCUGUUAGGCAAUGCAUAUAUUAAAGUAUCCAUACCUGUUUUUAAAGGGGAGCUAUAACUUGGAAUUCUGUUUUAAAAUAUCUAAGGAAAAGGUCAGCUGUACCUUUUUUGAUGGUCAAUAAACACAACAUUUUGUAAUUCCUUGAAA
This is a long non-coding RNA of Homo sapiens (human), 363 nucleotides long. Ensembl annotates it as PRKAR2B antisense RNA 1. Its record names the gene PRKAR2B-AS1. The record is from Ensembl. NCBI's taxonomy places the organism in Eukaryota, Metazoa, Chordata, Mammalia, Primates, Hominidae.